This 236-nucleotide long non-coding RNA is filed under the name Lathyrus oleraceus (garden pea). Its description in RNAcentral is "Pisum sativum (pea) long non-coding RNA (PSAT_LNC005599)". The record is from RNAcentral. Lineage: Eukaryota; Viridiplantae; Streptophyta; Magnoliopsida; Fabales; Fabaceae.
AGAUGAGGAUGAUGAGUAAGGUGAGGUGGUUUCAUUAAGCAUUUCUUCUUCAGAAACAGGUGGUGUGGUGGUAGCAAGGUUGAAUUUUUGAGAGGGUGGGUUAGAUGUUCAGGUGGUUGAGGUGGGUGUUUUAGAUGAAGUGUAGGUAUGAGUGGUUUGGGGAAGAGAAGAAGCAAUAGGUUUAAGUUUUACAGAACGGGAGAGAGGUAUAGACUUACUUAGAGGGUCAGCCAGAG